This is a non-coding RNA of Drosophila melanogaster (fruit fly), 1670 nucleotides long. Lineage: Eukaryota; Metazoa; Arthropoda; Insecta; Diptera; Drosophilidae. The record is from Ensembl.
AUUACCACAUCACGUCACAUCGUCGGAAAGGAUAUGAAAUAUGUGCUGAAAAAAAAAGAAGCGUAGAGGAGAAAAUGCCAUGAAAUUGAGUUAAUUAAAAGGGAAUCCACUGUGCACCGCCCACACACAUUCUCACAGCCACACUUACACACACGAACACACAUACACAUGGGCAGGCAAACGGCAUGAAAAUGCGGUAAAAAAGCAAGAAGCAGAGUGCGCAGCAGAGAGAUGAAUAUAAAAUAUUUGGUUAAUAAUGCACACACAGAGGCAUGUCGUUGCAAUUCGUGCAUAUGUAUUGCUGGCGAUAUGCACACACACACACAGGCACGCACAUACAUAUGCAGUUCAUAACGGCAAAUGGACGGGGCAUUGUUGAAAUUGUUGAAAUUUGGUGGAAAAAUAUGCUAUGCUCUCUGCUACGGGCGCUUUAAAAUGCAUUCAAGUGCAAGUGCCGCAAAUGCAGUUCACUUCGCUGAAUCGAUAGAGAGCGAGGUGGGUGGCGAUUCAGCCCCCACAUGUCCCCCCACGCCCACACUUUCGUGCACAUUCACCUAACUACUCCCAUGAACAAUUGCAACAUUUUGGCAAAAGUCAAGGAAGUCGGCCCUCCCGCUCGCACCUUCGCCUCGCGCGCCACUCCGCCGCCUGCGUCCGAGCGAGACAACUGUAGUGUACUUCAGACCUGGCGUGAUGUAUAAUUCGCACAAGGCACAAACAAUUCAUUUCAGGCAUGAGAGAGAGCGAGCUCAAGUCUCCGCCCAAUAAUGCAAAGAGGUUGAACCCCUUGCUCUCAGGAAACCGGUUUAUUUCCACAGUGUACACUGUGCGUGUGUGCGUUUAUGCCUGUGUGCGCUAGUUUGUGUGAGAGUGAGCAGCACAGUGGCUGCGGCAGACAUCUUUUGCCAAGGGUUGGACUUUUGCCGCAGGACUCGCAGCUGACCUUAAGCUUGCCUCCCCUUCCCCCCUCCACCAUCAAGCAAACACACACACACACGCACCCUGCCAAAAAUAUGUGCGUGUACUGCCUGCCGUAAAGGGGCGUAAUUAAAACCGAAGGGGGAGUGGAGUGGGGGUGUAAUGUCGGUGGGGCAUGUAACCGCCAGGUCGCUCCUAAAUACUUUCACCAACUAUGCCAUGUUGUCAUAAUUCUUCAUCCACCUAUAAGGCACACACCCGAAAAACCACACAUAGAAAUAAAAUAAAAAAUGUAGGAUGGGGAGGGGGAUGUCAAUGGGGGGCCAGCACCAAAAGGAAAAAGAGAGUAACGAAAAGUGCACGAAAUAUGCGCCCUGUUAUUGCUAAUACGCAUUCCAGCUGCAGUUUUCGGCUCAGCCCAGUGGACUCACAAUGGAGUGGAAUGCCACUGUCGUCGCUGCCGGCAUGUCAAAGUGAAUAACUCAAUAGCCAUAUUGGGUGUCCACCUGUGCGAGAGCGGGAGAGGGAGAGGCAGAGAGCGGGCGAGUGGCAGCUUCAUCCAUCAGCAGGGGGGCCAGGGGCAGGAUUGGGGUCGCAGAAGGGGCGAGCACUUGCAAUUCCACGUAAAUCCACUCGAUGAGAGCACUUACAUGAGCUUGCGUUUGUCACAAACACACUCACACACACUUGGCAGCUCGCACACACUCACAGAAAUGGCCGUUAAAAUUCUUGACAACCCGAUAUGGUAAUGA